UUUAAUCUGAGGGUCCAGGGUUCAAGU
This 27-nucleotide non-coding RNA is filed under the name Cricetulus griseus (Chinese hamster). The record is from RNAcentral. Lineage: Eukaryota; Metazoa; Chordata; Mammalia; Rodentia; Cricetidae.